AUUUACUUCUGUCUUUUCAUACUCUAAUGACACAUUACAUGUGAGAAUGUAUGCAUUUUCUACACGCUUUGGCAUAUCUGGGUGACGUGCACCAUGAUCCAUUACUAGACCUGAAAAUGAAUGUGAUCAGUAAGAAUAUCUCAAGAAGAACUGACUCCUCAAUGGAUAAAAUUACUGAAAACCAAAAGAAAUAUUUGAACAGUAUCUUAGUAGAGACUCACUCUUAAGAAAUCUUUUACAACUCCUAAGCCAAAGACUCAAUACAACAAGUUUAAUGUAUAACUAUAUUAUAUAGUAUAAAUUAAAUAUAGUUAGGUUUUGAUGAAAUUAUAUAA
Long non-coding RNA from Bombyx mori (domestic silkworm), 335 nucleotides. RefSeq lists it as uncharacterized. Lineage: Eukaryota; Metazoa; Arthropoda; Insecta; Lepidoptera; Bombycidae. The transcript is spliced from 2 exons. The record is from RefSeq and is a predicted model, not a curated record.